GACAGGCGCUGCAUGGCUGUCGUCAGCUCGUGUCGUGAGAUGUUGGGUUAAGUCUCGCAACGAGCGCAACCCCUAUCCUUAGUUGCCAGCAUUAAGUUGGGCACUCUAGGGAGACUGCCUGGGCUAACCAGGAGGAAGGUGGGGAUGACGUCAAGUCCUCAUGGCCCUUAUGUCUAGGGCUACACACGUAAUACAAUGGUGCAUACAAAGGGAAGCGACCUCGCGAGAGUGAGCAAAUCUCAAAAAGUGCAUCUCAGUCCGGAUUGGAGUCUGCAACUCGACUCCAUGAAGUUGGAAUCGCUAGUA
RNAcentral lists this ribosomal RNA (306 nucleotides) under uncultured Peredibacter sp. RNAcentral's name for it is "bacterial SSU rRNA". It matches the Rfam family "Bacterial small subunit ribosomal RNA", at positions 1033 to 1340 of the family's 1533-position model. Lineage: Bacteria; Pseudomonadati; Bdellovibrionota; Bacteriovoracia; Bacteriovoracales; Bacteriovoracaceae. The record is from RNAcentral.